GCAUUGGUGGUUCAACGGUAGAGCUCUCACCUUCCAUGUGGGAGGCCCAGGUUCAAUUCCUGGCCGAUCCC
This 71-nucleotide transfer RNA is filed under the name Loxodonta africana (African savanna elephant). It matches the Rfam family "tRNA". From Rfam's summary of the family: Transfer RNA (tRNA) molecules are approximately 80 nucleotides in length. Their secondary structure includes four short double-helical elements and three loops (D, anti-codon, and T loops). The record is from Rfam by way of RNAcentral. Lineage: Eukaryota; Metazoa; Chordata; Mammalia; Proboscidea; Elephantidae.